UAAUACCCGUCCGUUGGACGGCUUACGCUAACAGUGUAACAAACAAAGAUAAUGUAUAUUGAGGGUGUUCAGCAACGCUUUUCCUUUUCUUCUUUUCCAUAUCCUUUUUUGAAAAGGUUGCAACCAUCUAACUUUUUCUUUUCUUCUUUGCAAACCACUAAACCUCGUUCUCAAAACACAUUAUCCAAAAACUAUAAAAAUGACCUAUUAACUUUUAAGAGGUCAAAAACUUAAAAGGAGCUCAAAAUAAGCAAUCUCAAACACCCACAUUAAGUGGACACAAAUCUAAACAACAUUAUAAACAAAAGCACCAUUUUUAACUUAUAAAAGGAAAACGAACGUGAACAGUGUACAACCACACACAAUAUAAAAUAAAAAUGACAGAGUGGCAAAACAUGAAAUGGUGUCAUUUUAAUAAGUUUAGUAUAUUCACUAAUUACGAUCUUGAAGUCACCAAAAACCAAGAUGUGCCUUUCAUGUUUUGGCCACUCUUUGUAUUCGAAGUUUUCAAUUUGGAAACGGCUUAAUACAAACAUGUUGCCAACCAAAUUCAUGUCAUCGUAAAAGUGAGUUAAAGAUGCUGGGAUGAAUGUGGCUACUUUUUGUCUCUGAAAGAUGAAGAGAUUUUUAGUGAUUUAAGUAAGAAAUAAAUUUUUAUUUAAAAAGAAAGAAAAAUGACACUUACGGCUUGAUCGAGAAAGAUAACCAAUAAUUUGUUUUCACCAGCGAUAGACAAAACAAAGUCGACCCAAACGAAUGUAACGGUAUACCAAACUCCGUAUUGUGUGAGAGAUGAAAAAUAGUCAACAAUGGAAUGCACAUCCAUUAUCAAUUAGACCUACAACUUUAAUGUUAUAUGACAAAAAACAAAAAUUGAAUGUGUUGUUAUAAUUGUAGUAGUUGAAGAUAUUGAUUUGAAAAUUUAUAACUUAUACGAAUUCAAAAUAAGGUUAACAUAUUAUUUUAUUAUAAAAACAUAAUUUAAUCCCUUUAAGAAUAUUAUAUUUAUUGUGCCUUUGGGAUGCUAUACAUAAUUCAAAUUAAGGUCAAUUUAUUAUUGGGUAAGUUGAAAGUCGGGAGUGGUACGGUAAAAAUCAUUGUUAUUGGUCAAUUGGUGAAAGUUAAGAUUAUUUAAAUCCAAUAUCCCUAUAAUGUAUAUCAAAAUUCUCAGUCAAUGUCACAUGUUUGUGUAAUUUUAUUUUAUAAGUAGGCCUUCAAAAUUAUAGGAUAUUAUUAAUAGGUCUCUAUAACCUUACUAAAUUCUAAUAUAUUUGAUUUUACCCAACUCGUUUUGUUGGACUCGGUUUUACCCGACAUGUACUUAACCCCGGUUUUACCCGACAUGUACUUUACUAAAUUCUAAUAUAUUUGAUUUUACCCAACUCGUUUUGUUGGCACAUAAAAAAUGGAAAUAGAAAUAAUAAUAAUUGGGCUCAUAAUCUCUAACCUAACAAAAUGAGUUUGAUUUACACUUGGCCCAACCCAUUUAUUCAACCUAAAUAUAUAAGUGAGUGUGUUAUAAUAAAAACCCUAAAACCAUAGAGACACAUUCAGCAGCCGACAUCAUCUUUCAGCCCUCUGGUUUCUCUGUCCGAUCAUCGGCGACCGGUACCGGUUACGGCCGGCUACCGGCGUCCCGUGCUUGCUCGCAUGUCGCCACACAACCCCAAGCUCCGUCUUCAUCUUAACUCGCCGCACAUACGCUGCCCUGUCCAGAGAGAGAGAGAGAGAGAGAGAGAGAGAGAGAGAGAUCGGAGAACGGGAGAGAUCGGAGAUCGGAGCACAUACGCGGCGACUUUAAUUCCUUCCGACAAGUUCACCGGUAAAACAUGGUGGUGUUCUUGAUGAAAUAAUCCAAUCAUUGCAACAUCAAGUUGAGGUUUAAUUUGGCCGGUCUGACAUCAAAGGUCAAGGGUUUGAAUGUUCAUGUCUUCUCUCAACAUAAACUUUAUGAAGACUCGAGAUCUUUUGGACAAUUUGGUCCUUUGAAGGGCAGUUACUCGCAGAGAAUAGCUACAUAGUGCGAGAGGGAGAUCCGGUAGAUGAGAUGCUGUUUAUAAUGCGCGGAGACUUGCUAACUGUGACUACAAAUGGUGGAA
Helianthus annuus (common sunflower) is the source of this 2099-nucleotide long non-coding RNA. RefSeq lists it as uncharacterized. The record is from RefSeq and is a predicted model, not a curated record. The transcript has 4 exons. Lineage: Eukaryota; Viridiplantae; Streptophyta; Magnoliopsida; Asterales; Asteraceae.